AAAAAGCAGAGUUUUCCAAGGACACUCUAUAGACUUGUCCAGUGGAAAUUAUAACCUCUAUAAAAUUUUUUGUGAUCAAAUUUUGUUUUCUCAGGCCUGUUUUGUCAGAUCAUGGUCUUGGGUAGAACUACUGGAGUCACUGAUCUACUAGGGUGGCAUUCCUAACUAGAAUUACAUUGAAGGCAUUGCAGUAAUUCUGUCAGGCUGCCAGAAGCAUGGAACUGUUGCCCAGGAAGGUAACAUGAUUUGUACAGACCAGUCCGGGAGAACAGUGGCAUCAGGAGAAACAGACUAGAGGCCAUCAGAGCUGCAGGUAAAUGUCUGAGCAAUUCAGUGACAGAUUUUCCACAGUCCUUCUGAUCCUUACAGGAGCACUCAAGGAGCUAAGAUCCUGUGCAGUGCAAACACAUUAGUGGAGUCCUCACUGAUCACCUAAACAUAUUGACAAAUACCUACCAUGUUCUGCCACAAGUAUCUUUUUACAAUACUCUGACUUAAAACAACUCCUUUGGAUUAAAGCUUGGAUUAUUUGUACUAUUUCAUAUGUUAAAAAAUAUAAUUUGAGAUGGGAAUUGUGUGCAUAUGCAGUCGGAUAAUACAGAUAUGCAAUCCGUCAGUCAGAAAGUUCUCAAGUUGUACAGAUUGGUUCAGCUGCUGGGUCCAAGGCAUUGUUUUGUUCAUGCUGGUAUUUUGAGAUUCUUAAGUGAACAGAAAUUGAGCUCACAGUAAUGGUUUGCAGUCAAGUGGGGAAUGUAAGUUUCUUUUUCCUCACUUGCAGGACAGUUUAAGUCAUGAAAGAGGCUGCAUUUACAAAGAGAGGUGCAAGAAAGUUGUUAGUACUCUAUAAAUCAGGCAAGAGAAUCAAACCAAAUUAAUCAAAUUAGGAAACUCCCAUUUCUUUUGUUUCUCUGCUUAUGCUACAGUAUUAUAGUAAUCACAACAGAAGUAGUAAUGACAAUUUUAUACAAGGGAAAAUUAAAGUGAAAAUCUGCACACAUUUUUAAAAAGGGGCCUAUUUGAAAUUGUAAAAUCAGCCUGAAGUUUGAAGAUGAACCAGUUUUAGCUUUCAUAUUUUUCAGAUUCUGUACUGCAUUAGUUGUGUAACUCUGAACUUCAUAUAAAGUGUAAGUCCUCCUCACAGUUUAGUCAGACAAAACAAUCCUUUUCCAGUCUAAGAACCAUGGCUACUUCAGGCCCCCAAACAGUAUUAACGAAAGCAAAACUAGGUGAAUGUGAUUUCAUUACCUGAAGCUGUAACUGGACAAUUAACCCCAAUAUGCAAAUGGACCAAACUUAUGAAAUCAUGAAAACUUGUGACCCAUUGUUUAUCUUGGGUACAGCCCCAGCCAGGCUCUUGUGCUGCCCAAGGUGCAUCCUUUGAAGGCCUUUUUAAUAAAUACCUACUAUAUUCCUUUAACUCUGUCUAGCCUCUGUUAUAGGCAAUCUCUCUAGACAUCACAAGUAACAGUAACAUUUCCUGCAAACACCUUGCAGGGCACUUCUGCAAUGCUGGGAAUACUCUAAAAAUGACAUUAUGUUAUAGUGGUUUGCUUUGUGCUUCUGUAUAAUGAGCCUCAAAUUAAUAAAUCCCCAAAUUAAUAAAAAAUAAUAAUUCAGAGCAAAUAAAAAUUAGAAUAUCUUUUCAGUUGGGUGUUGGAUUUUUUAAAACUUGAAAUGAUUAAUUAAUAUAUUGCACUGCUAAAAGUUCUCUCAAUGACUGCAUAUGAACACUUAAUUUUUGUGAUUUUUUUAUACCCAGUACUUAGAUAUUAUUUUAAAAACUAUCUCCAUCUCAGUUUUUCUACUUGGUUGCAUAAAUAUAAAUCAGAAGUAAUGCAGCUGAAAUUAACAAAACUCCAAUUCUGUAAAACCAGCCUAAAAGAAGAAUUAACUUUUGGAACCUCUUUCUCUUUCAUUUCAUGAUAGAGUAAAACCACUGCAAAACUAUUGGAUUAACUUGAAAUCUAUGUAAUUUACAUGAAUAUGAAUAGAGAGUAGAAAAUUUUUAUUUUCAAUAGCUGUGAUAACUGUAGCCUUAUAAAAUAUAUGCUCUCCAUAACUCCUGUCCAUACAGAACUGGAGUACAUAAAUUGCAGAUUACAGUUCCAGUAGGACUGAAUCUCUGUUGCAUAGGUUACUACUACAGACCCAAGGCUAUGAUGUGCAGUCAGAUUCUUCAGUUUAAGGACUGACAUGUACAUGCUACAUGCUUAAGUUCUUAGGCAGUUGUUUUAAAACUAGUCAACAUGAUCAGUGGAUUCUAACGAAUUAUUCAACUUACCAGCCAUCAGAUAUCUAUUUCAAAAUGAGAAAAACUGAUUUUCUAGUCUGUGUUAGAUCUGCACUGGGAAAUUUAGGGGUGUGUGUGCCAAUAUAACAGGAUGGUUUACUAACAUCAAAGUGAAAUGUUUCAGAGAUGUGAGGCAGCACUGCCUCCUCCUGUUCCAGCCAGCACCAGCCUGGAUGAAAAGGCCAUUUGAAAAAGUAGAUAGAUCUUGGAGCUCAUGUACAUUCUUUUCCUCCUCUUACACACAUUACUAAUUUUUUAUCACCUUGCCCUCACCUUGUUCAGCUGCCUUAAAAACAAUGAAGUGGAGAAUUCAGAGAGAAGGCACAGAAAGGGAGAAAGAGGCUUUCAAGAAACUUCUCAGAAAUCAAGUAAAUCAAAUUGUCCCUUACAUUCUUUAGUCUCUUAUAUGAAUGAGAGAAACUGUCCCCAUACCAGGAAUGCUGAGAAAUUAUUCUUUUUCAUGUAAUAACAAAUGUUGAUGAAAGGGAAUUGGAGCAACCCUGGAUACAUCACUACAAAUCACUUUGGAAUAAAGAGUCUUAGGGAUAUUUUUUUUCAUAAUACUAAUAAUGUAUAGUGAUAUUAAUAAAAUCAAAAAUCUCUGCUUGAGAUUCCAAAAAAUAUAUGGAAUUAAAAUAUUUUUAUAGGUUAUAAAUUAAAUUUUAAUGCAUAAGAAAUGUAGAAAUUAUAGUAUGAGGACUCAAAAAACCUGAGUGUAUUGAUCCAAACUGCCUAUCCACAAACCUUCAGAUUGAAAUGGUUAAUUAUUUGUCAAUUUAUUUUUAAUAUGAUUAGUUAUUCUUGGUUGGGCUUCCUCAUCCAUUAUUUCCUGAGCCAGUACUGAAUAUUUUUAUAUUUUAUAUUUAUAUUACUGAAUAUUUAAGAAAUAUCUGUAUAUGAAGUGACAGUGCUAUCUCCUUUUUUAUUUUUUUUCCACAAUUCUAAGGAAAAGAGCUUUUAUUUAUGAUUUACUUAUGUAGGUAUUUGUUCACUAUUUCAGGCUUUAUAUCUAAUUCCACUUUCCAUAACAUUUUCUGUGAAUGUUAUCAACGAGUUUUCAGUGCUUUUCUUUCAAAUUAUUUGCUAUUUAUCUAUUUCAUAAGAAGUUUCUUAAGACUGUGAUCUAAAGUCACACUACCAAUAGAAAAAAAAAUUACCUUUUUUACUUGUUUAUAAAAAUUCUGCAUUACUAAAUCUAAGUGUUUAGGUUUAUUCUUGUCUGAAUGGCUGUUAACUAACUUAAUCUUUUAGAUUCAUCUGCUUUUCUUCAAGAUAUAAUUUAGCAAGCAGAACAACACUCUGUUCUCCACUCAGACUGACGAGUUCACUAAGGAAACUGUACAACAGCCAGUGUAAUUGCUUUCUCUAACAUUUCAAAGGAUGAGAGAACAUACUGGAAACUUUAGGUCAUGUCUUAUCCUGCUAUCAGCAGCAUGCAGACCCCAUGCACAGAACAGCCUUAUUGGCCAUGGCUAUUUGGCGAAGCCUAAUCUCAUUCUAUGAUUUUAGAGAUCUACUUAUUUGAUGCCUCUCUUUUCCCUGAUUGUGGUGAUGGAUGCCAUACUGCACUCAAGAAUGAUGAAUUUGUUUCAGGUCUCUGAAGAAUCAAUGGUUAUGUCUUUUAUCUAAAGCUGAUUCCACCUGCCAGGGCUUUCUACAUAAAUGUUCUGUAUCACCUUGCUGACACUAAGAUUCAAUUUAUCAGGAAAGGCCUUUUGUAGUCUGAACAUCUGUAAAGCCAAUGGAUAUUUUCCAUGGCUCUGACAAUGUUUGUAUUUCACAUUUAGAGAAUAUCCUUCACAAGGAUCAUUUCAUCAGGCACUUUUAAAAGAAUUGCACAUGAUCACCACAGAAGCUCCAUUCAGUCCACCUUGUUUGGGUUUAAUCUUAACUGUGUCAACAAUUCAGUUCUAACUGAUCCAAGACUAUAUCAUGGUUUGUGUCUCCUGAUGUGAAAGGAUAUGAAAAAUCUCAUCCAUGUCUCUCUAUGUCAGAUUUAAGAUACAAAUUUCAGAGGAGGUGAAAAUUUGUCCAAAUAUUGUACAGAAGUUUCCCCCUGUUUUCAACACUGGCACAAUCCCAGAGUCUCUUUUUUUUGCCUUCAGAUUAGCUUCAUUUUAUAAAUAAAGUUGUUCUGUAUAUAAAAGAAACUGAUUUGCUGCACCAAUACAAUGUGGGUUUAAUCAGUUUUUAACUGAUUUGCUGCACCAAUAUAAUAUGGUUUAUUAGGCUACAAAAUCAUAGACAAAAUAAUGGCUAUGUUGUUCAGAUUGGAGAUUAAAGUUCUCUUUCCUUUCUUAUGAUAAACCCAAUGACAUGGAUAUUUUGUGAAUGUAUUUGCCCUCAGCAAUUUCCUAUUUUAAACUCAUAAAUACAGUAUACUGUAUAAGAAAAACAAAACAAAAAUAAAAACCACCAACUUGUCCCUGUGCCAUAUAGUACAUAUAUAAUACACAGGGUUCUGUGGAGGUCACCUGAAGUACAUGACCCAUUUUGAAUUCCUUUAGUUUGCAUGAUUUUGUCAGGCUUAAGCUGAUGAUUCUGACAAUAUUUCUCAGCUUCCUGAGCUGAACAUUUAAAACUGGCUUCCUACUGCUUUUCAUACUGAUGCUAGCUUUCAACUUGAUGAAGUGAAGUCAUAAUUAAACAAAAAACAUCCCAUAGAUAAUUAUAAAAUAUCACUCAGCCUAUCAUUUGAGCUGCCUGCAGGCAUUUUAGAUGCUUGUUUUUAUUUGUGUUAUGUGGCUUUUCUAUAAUACUAAUGGCUUUAUUUUUCCUGUACAUCUUUCUCUAAUUCCUCUCAGAUGAUGUCAGUUUAUGAUACUAGUUUAAUUCUCUCAGAUGUCUUUCCAGGACUCAGUGACCUCACUCUGCAGGACCGGACAUUUGGAAUGUACAAGUGUGCAGUAAAAUUCCUGCCUCUUGGUAUCAGCUCUCCCGAGGUGCUUUCUGCAAGUCCAAAUCUGUGAGAGAAGAAAGUGCAGUGAUGCCAGAAAGCUAGUCUGAAGUGCCUGAUGAUUCUCAGAAGCUAUUUUUCUUGUGGGGUCAUUCAAUUAUGUCUGAAAUCAGUUCAGUGAAUCAUUUUGGUUUGCAAGUAUAAAAAUAGAAAAUAUUUUGAAAUUGAGGGUUGUACUCAAACUGUAAUUUGAAGAAUGGUUCCAACUGUGGAUCUGGGGGCUGUUCCAUUUUAACGUAAAUGCUGAGACUGCAGACUUAUGUCAAGACCUCCCCGCUGAAAACUUCAAAGACAUUCCUUCCAGGCAGAGAGUUUAUUCUAGAAGAGUGGAAGUUCCUCCGUGAGGUUCAAAGGGUCAUUGCUAGAAAACUCAUUAUCUGUAGGGACUAGUGACUUGGGUAAAAAUCUGAAAAAUACUAUUAAUAUUGUCCAUGCUCAUAAGGUUACAGGAUGUGGGCAUUGGUCAAGAAAUUGAAUAAGGGGUAGAAAAUUUCUGGGGGGAGGAAGAGGGAGUGGGAUGAGAUGUGUGAAUGUGUUUACAGUAUAGAGAAAGAGAUUUUUCAAGUAUGGCAAAUUUUUUUUAUUCAAAGCAUCUAAACUUGAUCUCAAAGCCAAACCAAGACUAGUGUCAAAUUUUUUUUAAAGAGCUAUCAAGGAAUGAGGGAAAACUUCUUGUUGUUGGGAACAAAUCCAGAAGUGGUGGAAAGUCAUCCAAGUAUAUAGUCACUAAAUUUUCUUUCUCCUGUACUUUCUCCUGUACAGAGACAGAUAUCAGGAGGUAAGAUGCCUGGUGUGACAAGACUGGAAGAAUGAAGUUGAGGUUUUGCUUUGAUGAUGCUGAAGAACACUUGAAAACAAUUGAUGUAUGCAAAUUUCUGCAUCUUUUUCUGCAUCUAAUUAAUUAAGCACAUCUAUUUCCCUUGGGAGCCAACUGUCAAUGCUGAUAAAUAAAUAAUACACCUGAUUUUUCAUGCUGUCCAGUAUCUCUCAUUUCUAUGUAUUUUUAUAAUUAUAUAUAUAAACAUGAUUUUUCAAGCGCCAAUUCCAGUUGCUAGGUUUUAAAAGUCCUAUGAAGACAGGUAAAAACUAAUGUUUUUGUAGGAAAGACAUGUUCUUUUCUGUUUUCAAAAAAAUAUAACCUGUGCAUACAGUGCUUCUCUUUUAUGCUUCUGAAAGAUUUUAUUCCAUAUGCAUAUUUUUGUUCCAUAGGAAUUAUUUUUAGAAAAUAAAAGUGCCUUGAAUGUUUUGUGUGCACUCUAGACAUGUAUUGUUUUUGCACAAUCUGGUUCUUGGUAGCAGGUUGGAAGCUGCUGGAAGCUUCUACCAUGUUCAGUAGAGCCAAUCCUUGAUGGCCCUGAAGAUGGACAUGUUGCCAGCCAAAAGUGGGUCAAUGAGAGAGGCUGGUAAUGUCUCUGUGAUGAUAUAUUGAAGAUGAAAAUCAAAACAAAGUUGCAUGGUAUUUCUUCUAGUCAGAGAAGAGGAGGAGGUGAGAACAUGCAAGGGAAAACAACAUGGAGACACCAAGGUCAGUGCAGAAGGAGGGGCAAGAGGUGCUCCAGGUGCUGAGAUUCCUCUGCAGGAUGUGUUGAUAACUAUGGUGAAGCAGCUGUGCCCUUGCAGCCCAUGGGGAUCCACAGGGAAUGCAGAGAUUCACCCUCAGGCUGUGGGGGAGGUACCCAUGCCAGAAGAAGAUGGAUGCCUGGAGAAAGCUGUGAUCCUGUGGGAGACCUGGUGGAGAGAGAGAAUUUCUGCUUACAGGCUGGAGCAGCCUGUCCUUAGAGGACUGCACCCCACAUAAGAGUGACCUAUGCCACAGCAGUUUGGGUGGACUGUCUGCUCGUGGGAGGGAGUUCAUGCUGCAGCAGGUGCAGUUUGGCUGCUGCUUGUGAGUGGACCAUGCGGAAGAAGUUCAGAGGGAAAUGUCUCACAUGGGAGGGACCCCAUGGUCUUACGGGGGAAGGAUUCCUCUCCCUGAGCAGCAGAAGAAAAUCUCAUGAUGAACUGACCAAAACCCCCAUGC
Long non-coding RNA from Passer domesticus (house sparrow), 7266 nucleotides. RefSeq lists it as uncharacterized. The transcript has 3 exons. NCBI's taxonomy places the organism in Eukaryota, Metazoa, Chordata, Aves, Passeriformes, Passeridae. The record is from RefSeq and is a predicted model, not a curated record.